CCUACGGGAGGCAGCAGUAGGGAAUCUUCCACAAUGGGCGAAAGCCUGAUGGAGCAACGCCGCGUGGGUGAAUAAGGUCUUCGGAUCGUAAAACCCUUUUUUUAGAGAAGAAAGUGCGUGAGAGUAACUGUUCACGUUUCGACGGCAUCUAACAAGAAAGCCACGGCUAACUACGUGCCAGCAGCCGCAGGAAUACGGAGGUGGCAAUCUUCAUACGGAUGUAUUGGGGUUAAAGGGGACGCAGGUGGGGCUUUAAGUCUGAUGGUAAAGCCUUCGGAUUAACCCGAGUAGUGCAUGGGAAACUGGGUGACUUGAGUGCAGAAGAGGAGAGUGGAACUCCAUGUGUAGCGGUGAAAUGCGUAGAUAUAUGGAAGAACACCAGUGGCGAAAGCGGCUCUCUGGUCUGUAACUGACGCUGAGGUUCGAAAGCGUGGGUAGCAAACAGGAUUAGAUACCCUUGUAGUC
This 465-nucleotide ribosomal RNA is filed under the name uncultured bacterium. RNAcentral describes it as "partial 16S ribosomal RNA". It matches the Rfam family "Bacterial small subunit ribosomal RNA", at positions 338 to 795 of the family's 1533-position model. The record is from RNAcentral.